This 350-nucleotide unclassified non-coding RNA is filed under the name soil metagenome. RNAcentral's name for it is "partial contains 5.8S ribosomal RNA, internal transcribed spacer 2, and large subunit ribosomal RNA". The stretch from base 1 to 120 matches the Rfam family "5.8S ribosomal RNA", at positions 35 to 154 of the family's 154-position model. The record is from RNAcentral.
GAUGAAGAACGCAGCGAAAUGCGAUAAGUAAUGUGAAUUGCAGAAUUCAGUGAAUCAUCGAAUCUUUGAACGCACAUUGCGCCCGCCAGUAUUCUGGCGGGCAUGCCUGUUCGAGCGUCAUUUCAACCCUCAAGCCCAGCUUGGUGUUGGGGAUCGGCACAGGCGCCCUCGGGCGCCCGCCGUCCCCUAAAUCUAGUGGCGGUCCCGCUGCAGCCUCCUCUGCGUAGUAGUUUUCUCCUCGCAAGGGCAGCUCGGUGGCGACCUCGCCGUAAAACCACCAACUUCUGAAAGGUUGACCUCGAAUCAGGUAGGAAUACCCGCUGAACUUAAGCAUAUCAAUAAGCGGAGGA